GUCUAAGUAUAAGCAAUUAUACGGCGAAACUGCGAAUGGCUCAUUAAAUCAGUUAUCGUUUAUUUGAUAGUACCUUACUACUUGGAUAACCGUGGUAAUUCUAGAGCUAAUACAUGCUAAAAAUCCCGACUCACGGAGGGAUGUAUUUAUUAGAUUAAAAACCAAUGCCCCUCGGGGCUUUCUGGUGAUUCAUAAUAACUUCUCGAAUCGCAUGGCCUUGCGCCGGCGAUGGUUCAUUCAAAUUUCUGCCCUAUCAACUUUCGAUGGCAGGGUCUUGGCCUGCCAUGGUUACAACGGGUAACGGAGGGUUAGGGCUCGACCCCGGAGAAGGAGCCUGAGAAACGGCUACUACAUCCAAGGAAGGCAGCAGGCGCGCAAAUUACCCAAUCCCGACACGGGGAGGUAGUGACAAUAAAUACUGAUACAGGGCUCUUUUGGGUCUUGUAAUUGGAAUGAGUACAAUUUAAAUCCCUUAACGAGGAACAAUUGGAGGGCAAGUCUGGUGCCAGCAGCCGCGGUAAUUCCAGCUCCAAUAGCGUAUAUUAAAGUUGUUGCAGUUAAAAAGCUCGUAGUUGAACCUUGGGCCUGGCUGGCCGGUCCGCCUCACCGCGUGCACUGGUUCGGCCGGGCCUUUCCCUCUGGGGAGCCCUAUGCCCUUCACUGGGUGUAGUGGGGAACCAGGACUUUUACUGUGAAAAAAUUAGAGUGUUCAAAGCAGGCCUAUGCUCGAAUACAUCAGCAUGGAAUAAUAGAAUAGGACGUGUGGUUCUAUUUUGUUGGUUUCUAGGACCGCCGUAAUGAUUAAUAGGGACAGUCGGGGGCAUCAGUAUUCAAUUGUCAGAGGUGAAAUUCUUGGAUUUAUUGAAGACUAACUACUGCGAAAGCAUUUGCCAAGGAUGUUUUCAUUAAUCAGGAACGAAAGUUAGGGGAUCGAAGACGAUCAGAUACCGUCGUAGUCUUAACCAUAAACUAUGCCGACUAGGGAUCGGACGAUGUUAUUUUUUGACUCGUUCGGCACCUUACGAGAAAUCAAAGUUUUUGGGUCUGGGGGAGU
Molecule: ribosomal RNA, 1054 nt
Filed under: Stilbohypoxylon elaeidis
Lineage: Eukaryota; Fungi; Ascomycota; Sordariomycetes; Xylariales; Xylariaceae
Description: SSU rRNA
Rfam family: Eukaryotic small subunit ribosomal RNA
Source: RNAcentral